ACAGCAGGUGUGAGGAAUGAAGAAACACAAACAUGGCAUUUGGAUGGAAAGAGGAAGUACAGCUAACUGCCUGACAUCCGGAUAAAAAUACUCUAACAUCUACCACUUCAGAUCUGCUGGAGAAGGUUAUCUAUUAGGAA
Long non-coding RNA from Etheostoma cragini (Arkansas darter), 140 nucleotides. RefSeq lists it as uncharacterized. The record is from RefSeq and is a predicted model, not a curated record. NCBI's taxonomy places the organism in Eukaryota, Metazoa, Chordata, Actinopteri, Perciformes, Percidae. The transcript has 3 exons.